UACGUAGGAGGCAAGCGUUGUCCGGAAUUACUGGGCGUAAAGCGCGUGUAGGUGGUGGGACAAGUCUGCUGUGAAAGCGCCUGGCUUAACCGGGCGAGGUCGGCGGAAACUGUCCGACUCGAGGACGGUAGAGGGGGGUGGAAUUCCCGGUGUAGUGGUGAAAUGCGCAGAUAUCAGGAGGAACACCGGUGGCGAAGGCGGGUCUCUGGGCCGAUACUGACGCUGAGGAGCGAAAGCGUGGGGAGCGAACAGG
This 253-nucleotide ribosomal RNA is filed under the name uncultured bacterium. RNAcentral describes it as "partial 16S ribosomal RNA". It matches the Rfam family "Bacterial small subunit ribosomal RNA", at positions 524 to 776 of the family's 1533-position model. The record is from RNAcentral.